This 253-nucleotide ribosomal RNA is filed under the name uncultured bacterium. RNAcentral's name for it is "partial 16S ribosomal RNA". It matches the Rfam family "Bacterial small subunit ribosomal RNA", at positions 524 to 776 of the family's 1533-position model. The record is from RNAcentral.
GACGGAGGAUGCAAGCGUUAUCCGGAAUUAUUGGGCGUAAAGCGUCCGUAGGUGGCCUUGUAAGUCAGUUGUUAAAGCCCACAGCUCAACUGUGGAGUGGCAAUUGAAACUACAAAGCUAGAGAGUGGUAGGGGUAGAGGGAAUUCCUAGUGUAGCGGUGAAAUGCGUAGAUAUUGGGAAGAACACCAGUGGCGAAGGCGCUCAACUGGGCCAUAACUGACACUCAGGGACGAAAGCUAGGGUAGCGAAAGGG